Molecule: ribosomal RNA, 580 nt
Filed under: Diaporthe sp.
Lineage: Eukaryota; Fungi; Ascomycota; Sordariomycetes; Diaporthales; Diaporthaceae
Description: eukaryotic LSU rRNA
Rfam family: 5.8S ribosomal RNA (bases 206-359)
Source: RNAcentral
CUCCGUUAGGGGUGCCUGCGGAGGGAUCAUUGCUGGAACGCGCCCCAGGCGCACCCAGAAACCCUUUGUGAACUUAUACCUUACUGUUGCCUCGGCGCAUGCUGGCCCCCUCGGGGUCCCUCGGAGACGAGGAGCAGGCACGCCGGCGGCCAAGUUAACUCUUGUUUUUACACUGAAACUCUGAGAAAAAACACAAAUGAAUCAAAACUUUCAACAACGGAUCUCUUGGUUCUGGCAUCGAUGAAGAACGCAGCGAAAUGCGAUAAGUAAUGUGAAUUGCAGAAUUCAGUGAAUCAUCGAAUCUUUGAACGCACAUUGCGCCCUCUGGUAUUCCGGAGGGCAUGCCUGUUCGAGCGUCAUUUCAACCCUCAAGCAUUGCUUGGUGUUGGGGCACUGCCUGUAAAAGGGCAGGCCCUGAAAUCUAGUGGCGAGCUCGCCAGGACCCCGAGCGCAGUAGUUAAACCCUCGCUUUGGAAGGCCCUGGCGGUGCCCUGCCGUUAAACCCCCAACUUUUGAAAAUUUGACCUCGGAUCAGGUAGGAAUACCCGCUGAACUUAAGCAUAUCAAAAGGCCGGAGGAA